Molecule: ribosomal RNA, 801 nt
Filed under: Bacillus vallismortis
Lineage: Bacteria; Bacillati; Bacillota; Bacilli; Caryophanales; Bacillaceae
Description: bacterial SSU rRNA
Rfam family: Bacterial small subunit ribosomal RNA
Source: RNAcentral
AAGCUUGCUCCCUGAUGUUAGCGGCGGACGGGUGAGUAACACGUGGGUAACCUGCCUGUAAGACUGGGAUAACUCCGGGAAACCGGGGCUAAUACCGGAUGCUUGUUUGAACCGCAUGGUUCAAACAUAAAAGGUGGCUUCGGCUACCACUUACAGAUGGACCCGCGGCGCAUUAGCUAGUUGGUGAGGUAAUGGCUCACCAAGGCAACGAUGCGUAGCCGACCUGAGAGGGUGAUCGGCCACACUGGGACUGAGACACGGCCCAGACUCCUACGGGAGGCAGCAGUAGGGAAUCUUCCGCAAUGGACGAAAGUCUGACGGAGCAACGCCGCGUGAGUGAUGAAGGUUUUCGGAUCGUAAAGCUCUGUUGUUAGGGAAGAACAAGUGCCGUUCAAAUAGGGCGGCACCUUGACGGUACCUAACCAGAAAGCCACGGCUAACUACGUGCCAGCAGCCGCGGUAAUACGUAGGUGGCAAGCGUUGUCCGGAAUUAUUGGGCGUAAAGGGCUCGCAGGCGGUUUCUUAAGUCUGAUGUGAAAGCCCCCGGCUCAACCGGGGAGGGUCAUUGGAAACUGGGGGAACUUGAGUGCAGAAGAGGAGAGUGGAAUUCCACGUGUAGCGGUGAAGUGCGUAGAGAUGUGGAGGAACACCAGUGGCGAAGGCGACUCUCUGGUCUGUAACUGACGCUGAGGGAGCGAAAGCGUGGGGAGCGAACAGGAUUAGAUACCCUGGGUAGUCCACGCGCGUAAACGAUGAGGUGCUAAGUGUUAGGGGGUUUCCGCCCCUUAGUGCUGCAGCUAA